RNAcentral lists this transfer RNA (73 nucleotides) under Canis lupus familiaris (dog). It matches the Rfam family "tRNA". Rfam says of the family: Transfer RNA (tRNA) molecules are approximately 80 nucleotides in length. Their secondary structure includes four short double-helical elements and three loops (D, anti-codon, and T loops). Further hydrogen bonds mediate the characteristic L-shaped molecular structure. tRNAs have two regions of fundamental functional importance: the anti-codon, which is responsible for specific mRNA codon recognition, and the 3' end, to which the tRNAs corresponding amino acid is attached (by aminoacyl-tRNA synthetases). tRNAs cope with the degeneracy of the genetic code in two manners: having more than one tRNA (with a specific anti-codon) for a particular amino acid; and 'wobble' base-pairing, i.e. permitting non-standard base-pairing at the 3rd anti-codon position. Lineage: Eukaryota; Metazoa; Chordata; Mammalia; Carnivora; Canidae. The record is from Rfam by way of RNAcentral. RNAcentral also lists the same sequence under 1 other name.
GCCUGGCUGGCUCAGCUGGUGAAGCAUGUGACUCUUAAUCUCAGAGUUUUGGGUUCAAACCUCACGUUAGGUA